Molecule: small nucleolar RNA, 70 nt
Organism: Bufo bufo (common toad)
Lineage: Eukaryota; Metazoa; Chordata; Amphibia; Anura; Bufonidae
Source: RefSeq, a predicted model, not a curated record
CUCGGCUGUGAUGAUCUGUUUUACCGCCCCAGUCUGAUGUCUAUGAUUGAGUGGUAGUUCCUGAGCUUCU